UGGUGGUGUCUUUUAUUCAAUUCAAAGAAGAAGAAGUUUCUUUCCAUAAACAAGUUAUAAUCUUAUGGUUCUUGGAGUUUAUUUCGCAGGUAAAUGUUACUAGACAUCUAUAGAUCAUUCUCGUGGACUGUGGUUGAGUACGCUUGUUCUGAUUGCAACAUGCCUGCUAUGACAAAGAGUUUUGAGCACCACAAUUUUGGGCA
Papaver somniferum (opium poppy) is the source of this 203-nucleotide long non-coding RNA. RefSeq lists it as uncharacterized. The transcript has 3 exons. The record is from RefSeq and is a predicted model, not a curated record. Lineage: Eukaryota; Viridiplantae; Streptophyta; Magnoliopsida; Ranunculales; Papaveraceae.